Molecule: long non-coding RNA, 8929 nt
Organism: Callithrix jacchus (white-tufted-ear marmoset)
Lineage: Eukaryota; Metazoa; Chordata; Mammalia; Primates; Cebidae
Source: RefSeq, a predicted model, not a curated record
ACACACACACACAUAUAUAUAUAUAUACACACACAUACAGUGGAUGAUGUAUAUCAAUAUAGAUUUCUUGAGAUUUUUUGGAAUCUCAAGAAAGAGUGAUGUAUUGACCUGGCCAAAAUCAAUGAAUGCCUGUAUUAAUCUGUUUUCACACUGCUAUAAAGAAUACUACCUGAGACUGGGUAAUUAUGAACAACAAGGGUUUAAUUGACUCAUAGGUCUGCAUGGCUGGGGAAGCCUUAGGAAACUUGCAGUCAUGGCAAAAAAUGAAGGGGAAGCAAGCAAGUCUUUCAUGGCAGCAGGUGAGAGCGACAACCCAGGGAAAAUUGCCAUUUAUAAAACCAUCAGAUCCUAUGAGAAUUCACUCACUAUCACAAGAACAGCAUGGGGAACGCCACCCCCAUGAUCCAGUCACCUCCCAGUAGUUCCCUCCAUAGACACGUGGAAAUUACAAUUCAACAUGAGAUUUGGAUGGGGACACAAAGCCAAACCAUAUCAGUGUCCAACCAUAGAUACACUGAGGCAGGAAGAAAGAGGACAUGGCCUCUUCAAAAUUCACAGUGGGAUGCACCACUAGCACCUGCCAAAAACAAAUGUGAUGAGAAAUGCCCCAAACUGGAAGCCAAGAAGGAGGGCAUUUGUUUUUGUUUGUAUGUUUAACUGAUUUUGAGAAAGAGAAUACUCUAUCUCCCAGGCUAGAGUCCAGAGCCAUAGUCAUAGUUCCUGUCCUCCAGGAUCCUCUGGCUUCAGCCUCCCAAGAAACUGGGACUACAUUCACCACCAAGCUCAGCUAAAUUCUUUUUGGUAGAGAAAGGGUCUCACUGUAUUGCCCAGGCUGGUCUCAAACUCCUGGCCUUAUGUAAUCCUCCUCCUUCAGCCUCACACAGCUCUGGGAUGACAGGCAAGAGCCAUCACGCCCAGCUGCAACAAGGUAACUGGUAUUAGAAAGAUGAAAUCUACUGUAAGACAUAUUAUUAUUAAAAAGUUACCUUAAAAUUAUUCUAUAAAAUUUUUGUCCUUCACUUCAUUUGUCCAUUCAUUCUAGCUAUAUGCACUAUAAACUGAAUUACCGGUGGCACAAUGCUGGAAAUAUCAUUAUAAACUUUCUACCAAAUUUUUGAUCCUUAAAAAAAAAAUUCAUGAUUUUGGUGGAUUAUGGAAUGUUCUUAAUUCAAUAGCUUCUGGCUAACAUCAUGAUCUCCAGGGACCUUGCUACCAUAGUGGAAAGAACAUGAUUUUGAAGUCUGACAAAUUUGGAUUUAACCCAUGUAAUGCAGAGUCGCCAAAUAAGUCUGCCUCUUUGAGUUUUGUUUUCUCAUCUUUCCAGUGCACAUAAUAACCUUACCAUAGAGAGUCAUUUUAAAAGCUAAAUUAGAACAUGAAUAAAAACCGCUUCGCAUGUGGUAGGGAUUUGUGAUUAUCAGGGUCCCCCAGCUAUGCUUCAUUUAGUUGACAAGAAAAUAUGAUGGCUGCUUCAGGGAUACAACAUACAUUCCAGUUAAAAAGUGUUGUUUCUGGCCAAAAAACAUAUGGCCAAUACACAUGAAUAACUUGAAUUGCAUAGGCAGUUUUUCUAAUGAGGAAUUCAUCCUCACCCAAAUUAUGAUUUAAGCAUGUCUGGAAUUGUAAACAGUUAAUAGUGUGAGAUCUGAUGGAUCUACAGAAGUGGGUCAGCAAAUUUGCAAAAAUGAUCUCACCAAUUUGUAUCCUAGUAUAACUUUCAAAAAUAUAAAAGCAUGAUUCAUACAAUCAUAAAAUAACUACCUAAUGAUUAAUCCAGAUCAUUAAUUGAAGACGGAACCAGUUAGAUAAUGAAAGUAGUUUAAAGAAUUUUAGGAACGAUAAUGUAGAUAGUCAACAGCAUACUAAAUUAAUUUAGAUAUAAAAUGGAGUAAUGCCCCAUAGAGCAGUGAAACUAUAACCUUAAUAUUAUCUCUCUUUCUGGAGAAGCAGCUACAGGUUAGUAUGUGACAUUUUAGUUAGUAUCUGUGCUCUAAACAAACAGUAAACUGCAAGUUCAAAGAAAUGUCCAUUCUCCAAGAUAAUUAAACCUGUGUGGCGCCUCUCUUAGUCCAUUUGUGUUGCUAGAAAUCAAUACUGGAGGCUGGAUAAUAUACAAAGAAAAGAGGUUUAUUCGGCUCAUGGUUCUGCAGGUUCUACAGGAAGUAUGGUGCCAGUGGCUGCUUCUGGUGAUGGCUUUAGGAAGCUUUUACUCAGGGUGGAAGGGGAAGAAGAGUCAGAGUGGGUAGAUCAUUUGGUGAGAGAGGAAGCAAGAGUGAGAGAAUAAGGUCCUAGGCUUUUUGCAACUGGAAAUCAAGGGUGAGAACUGACUCACUCCUUUGAGAAAGACACCAAGCCACUCAUGUGGGAUCUGUCUCUAGGAUCCAACCACUUUCCAUCAAGCUCUACCUCAAAGCUUGGGGAUAAAAUUUCAACCGGAGACUUGAGGAGCCAAAUAAACCAUACCUAAAUCACAGCAGAACCUGUAAAACGCCAUUCUGAUAUGACAUCGAAAGGACAUAAACUCACCCCUUCUGCUUUAUUUCCAAGGUUUUGAUACAUUUUUUUCUAACAAUAGUAAGCCCAGUGUUGUUUGACUACACCACCUAAAUACGGUUACUGAUUAGCAGCCUUAGUUGGGUUAUUAAAACAAAUUAACUUCAUACAUUGCUGUUUUCAACUUUGAGAUUAACAGAUGCAACAAUAGUCAAAAUAUCAGGUUUAUCAUUUAAAUUAUUUGUCUAAGGGGUGCAACAACUCCCUCUUUCUCUCACUUCCCUUUCUUGAGUAUAAUUUUACAUUCCAUUAAAAACAAAAUGACAUAAAUGCAACAAGUUUUUGAACAGCAAUAGAAAUUACUAAAUUUCCACAAAGUUAUUAGUAAUCAUUUAUCCUCAAACAUUUAUGUACAAGAAAACUCUCAUCUGUUCCAUCUGCCCAUAGAAACCUUUGCAACUGAAGAUAAGGAAGAUAAGAAUAUUUUAAGGUUCACAUCCUCUUAAGUAAACUAGAAAUUUAGGUUGUAGGUGACAAACUAUCUGGUAGCUCCAGGGCUGGCCUGAGGCAAAACUGUAAAAUCUGUGAAGUGUGAUUUCUGUGUUCUCAAGCCCUCUUCCUGGAUCCUCCACUUUCCUCAGCCCAUCUGUCAAUAUUCACUGAUCUUGGCUAUUCAAUCUACUCUCCAGUGAUACCCUGCUUUAGGCUGCUUUUUCUAGCAGAUGCCUGAGACAUGAGAACUUUCCCAUCUGAGGGAAAAAGAAAUUCCUAUGCCUGCAUAUAUCUAAUUCAUUGCACAUGCACAAAUCCUUCUGUAAAUAAUUUCUUCUAAAUAUAAAAAACUGGUUGGUGCUCAUAAGUCAGUUCUCUCCUCAUCUAAUGUAAUAGCCUGGGGAGUGGGGGAAAGAGUAUUGCAGUAUCGUGUGUGUGUGUGUGUGUGUGUACCCAUGACACACAGUUACCCUGUUGGUAAAGAGUAAUCAAUAAUGUGAAUUUUUGGAGAAAGUUUGCUUUAGGAUUUCUCUACAAUUAGCAGUCUUACUGGGGGGACCUUUGUUGACUUAGAUACUGCCUCUUGAUGUUCAGACUAACUCUGGCCUCCACCUUCAUUAAUGAAGCCUAUAUUAUGCCAUGAGUAUGAUAUCAGAUCAAAUAUCAUUUUUUUCUCUUUCAUCUUCUCAGACAUUGAAGAGUCCAUAUACAUGGAAAGGUCUUUUUACUAAGAGAAGUGACUUGAAAAGGAGUGCAAAGAUCUGCCAUUUUGGCCAUUUUGUUGAAUUCAAUCAUUAGAAAACCCAGACAUAUGUCUAAGGAUGUUUUUCAUGAUCUCGUCUAAGCCACUCCAAUGAGGAAAGAAAGAGAGAAUGCUGCUCCUUUUUCAUCCAGCAUGAGAAAUGUGAACUUGAAAAAGAAUAACGUGCCAAGGAUUCAAAUAAACACAUUUCCUUGUAUGUGCCCUACAAAUGCAAAGUUCUCUCCAGGCUUUGAACUGAAUCCAGCAGUAGGCAGGACCACCUACUGUUUUCUCUCUUUGUUGACCUAGGAGAGAUGAUUCAUGCAUUGAUCAAGAAGGAAACAACUAUCCAUCAAGGUAAGAGCCUUUGGCUGUACCAACCAUCAGCAAACCCAGCCAGCAUGCUCCCUACAUUAAAGUACUCUAGCACAUUAAUUUCAAACCUGCACCCUGUAGGUAUAUUCAGAGCAGUCCCCAGCUACUGUCCUACAGACAAAUAAAUCACAUUUAAUAGGUACUGUGCAGCAUCUAAUAUUAUCUACAUAUAUAUUCCAUAAAAAUUAUCAUCUUAUGGCAAACUUUUCAAAUACCCUAUACCUUAGAGAGAAAACACAUACACAUGCACACACAAUAGUAGUGCUAGUAGAAUGAAUAUUAAUUUGCAGUAGUAAUUAGUGCUAGUAGUAGUAUUAAUAUACAAUAUUAGGCUAGUAAUCGUAUUAAUAAAGUAAUUUAUACAGUUUGAAGCAUCACUCAUUUGUCAAGAAACAAAAUCAUAGGCAAUCAGAGUUGAAAAAGCUUGUUUCUUUGUUGCUUCCUACCCUCGAGAUCCCCCUUCUACAAUAUUAAAACUCAAAAGUCACUUGGUCUCUGGUUUUACUCUCAAGCAAUAGCAAUAAACCUGUGUUAUAAGGUCCAUUUCACUUCUGGAUAAGUCUAAGUGUCAGAAAUUUCUUCUAUAUAACCUCAAGCCUAUCUUUUAUGUCUUCCAACCAUUGAUCCUAAUUAACCCAUUAAGUUUAUAGAGAGAAACCAAAUCCCUCUGUCACAUGACAGCAUGUCAAAUGUGACCAUGAUUAUUACUUUGGCAAUUUCUCUGAGUAUUUUCAAGGUCUUCCUUAAGGUCACUAUUCCUAGCAAUUCCAAUGACUUUGCUCUUAAAUCUACCAUUUCUAAUAGACUUCCCAUUUCCCCCCAAAUGUAGCCUACUAUUUUUUGUAUAGUCACCAAGAGUAUGGAGGAUUAGACUUAGCUUUCUUGAGACACUCCUCAUUCAGGGUUGGAUGAAUUUUUUAAUUUAAUUUUAAUUUUUUAUUGAGAUGGAGUCUUGCUCUGUUACUCACGCUGGAGGACAGUGGUACAAUCUUGGCUCACUGCAACCUCUGACUCUAGUUCAAGCAAUUCUCCUGCCUCAGUCUCCUGACGAGCUGGGACUACAGACAUGCAUCACCAGGCCCAGCUAAUUUGUGUAUUUUUAAUAGAGGUGGGGUUUCAUCAUGUUGGCCAGUCUGGUCUUGAACUCUUGACCUCAAAUGAUCAGCCCAAAGUGCUGAGAUACCAGUAUGAGCCACUGUGCUCAGCCUGGAUAAAUUUAAAUAACUCUGGUAAGAAAAUUGUUUUUAAAUGAUUUAUUUUGGAAAACGUUCAGGCUUGCAAAACAGUCACAUGAGUAGUAUAAAGCAUUACCUUAUAUUUUUCCCCAGGUUUCCCCAAAUGUUAACAACAUAGAGUAUAAUUUUCAACAUCAGAAAAUUAAAAUUAAUUUAUAAUAUUCUUAAUAGACUUUUUAUUUCAAAUUCAUCUUUUGCCCUACCGUUUCUCAACUCAGAUCCAAUCUAGGAUCAUCUAGAAAAUGAGAAAACUCAAAGCUCACCAAAAGCCUACAGUGAGUGAGAGUAAUUUUGUGCAUUUUGCCCUAUAAUUCUACUCUUUACCCUACCCCAAAACAAAAAGAGUUAUUCAGAAAUUUUAUUUAAAUAAAACCUCACUCUGGUAAGAGGAAUGAGAAAUUAGUUCAGAGCAACUCAAAGCCAAGGUGGUAACCAUGAUAAGCAGCUUUUACAUAAGGCGAAGUCAAAGGCUAUUUCAUGUGAAUAAAGUAAAUGGCCUUCGAUUCUCCUGGAACCGAUUCACAGAGAGGCUGAGAUGUUAUCAUGACUGUGCAGAGGAGCAAGAGAAUCUCAAAGAAACCCAAGGCGUUAAUUAAAGCAAUUAAAACUUCUUUUACCAUAACUAAAGGGGAAAGAGCAACCUUCUCUCUUACUCUGUGCCCGUCCUUGAGACAUUCUUCCACCAAAACUGACAGAAGGAUCAGUACCUCCUCCCUGGAUAAGUCAGAUGUGCACAGGCAUCUAACUCAAUGCGUGCGCUUGAAAGUGAACUGUUGAAUGUCAGUCUUCACACAAUUUCCCACAAAUUAGUGUACUUAUACUCCUUCAGAAGCAUUUCUAGUUAAAAAAAUUAUAUACCCACGAAUAUACAUGAAUUCACAAACAUACACACGUAUAUAUCCUGAAGAGGCUACAUGUAUUUUGUGGGUUGACUUUACACAAAAAAGGAUGAACUGAAAGGGAUCAAUUAGGAUGAACUGAAAGCAGAAAAUGGUAAGCCAAUCAUUGAUUUCACUGGAGAAAUGAGAAACAGCUUCUCACUAGCUAGAGAAAAAUAUUAGAUUGAGAAUUCUAAUCUUAAUCUUGCAGAUGUCAGGUGCUAUAAGCCCAAGAUGCUGACAUUCUAAUGGCAGACACAGAUACACAAACAUAGUUGUAAGACUUUGUGCUAAAUGCAAAGAUAGAGGUGAGUCCUUGUUGAGAGAAAGCAGGACCUUGUAAAGGAAGAAGAAACUGUAGAUGAGAGUAGGUAUCAAGUAUUAUGUGGAAAGCAGUUUUGUGACAGCCCCAUUAGUUAAAGGGAAGUGUGACUGAGCCCUCAGUUGAUAAUGAACCCUGGUGACCAGUAUGUGACUCUCUCCUCCUAUCAAAAACCUAUCAAAGGCCAGUCUUCCUUUUGGGCACAGGCUCUGUCUUCUGUACUUACUCAGGAUCCUACUCCAGCAACUGCUCCUCUUUCCUAUGUCACAAGUCCCUACCUUAGCGGACUAUUUUCAUUAGCAUAUAUGCAAACCAUCAUUUUCCCAUCUAAAAAAUAAUAAUACGCUCCUAUAACUAAAGUUUCUUUAAUCUACUUCCCAAUUUAUUUUAUUCUUCUCUAAAAACCUCCCGAAAAGAAUUAUUUAUACUUGAUUUAUUCCAUUUUUCUACUCCUGUUUCCUCUUAAUCAGAUUCCAAUCAGGCUAUCAACUAUCAAGAUUACUAGUGGCCUUCACUUUAAAUAUAGUGGUCAAUUUAAGCUGUAACUCAGUAUUUAGAAGAAUACUCGACACAGAGCAGGUGCUCAAGAAUUAUUGGUUAAAUACCUGGAUACAUGAAUGGAGCUAACAUAUAGUCAAGAAGGCCUUUUGAAAUUAUACAACAUAGGGCUACAUAGGUAUACCCAGAGUAAAAAAGUAAGGAUAAUAUUUGCAAAACAUACUUUAAAAAAUGCUUAAUGAGGCUGGGUGCCGUGGUUCACGCCUGUAAUCCCAGCACUUUGGGAGGCUGAGCUGGGCAGAUCACCUGAGGUCAGGAGUUCGAGACCAACCUGGUCAACAUGGUGAAACCCUUUCUCUACUUAAAAAAUACAAAAAUUAGCCCGGUGUGCUGGCGAGCACCUGCAAUCCCAGCUACUCGGGAGACUGAGGCAGGAGAAUCACUUGAACCAGAGAGGCAGAGUUUGCAGUGAGCCAAGAUCAUACCACUGCACUGCAGCCUGGGCAACAGAGCAAGACUCCAUCUCAAAAAAAGAGAUGCUUAGUGCAUCAAUAAAAAUUUCACCAAACUAUCAAUUUUUAGGCAUGUUGGCAUGGAAUCUGAAUCAUGCAAAACUCAAGGAAGUGGAAAAAAUACCUUUCACAUUUUAAAAAGCUCAUGUAAACAGCAUAAAUAUGCUGUUUUGUAACAAUUAAAUUAUUAUGAAUUCAUCUUUGGUGUUUUUAGAUCCAGGGAAAAGAAUCCCAGACUCACAGAAAAAUAAAAUGGAGAAAGAGGGAGGAAGUGAAGGGUAUGACAGGAUGUUCUAAAAUGGUUGCUAGAUAACCAUAAAAACAAGGACAGUAAUAACACAGCUAACCUCUUGUGAGCAUUUAAGUAUGCUUCAAUGACCGCUUUAGUCACUUUGUAAUUUCAUUCAAUCCUAUUGCCACCUGCUAUGAUCUGAAUGCCCCCAAAAUUUCAUAGGCUAAAACUUAAUUGCCAAUGUGAUAAUAUUAAAAGGUAGGGCCUUUAGAAAGUGAUUAAGUCAUGAGGGCUCCUUUAAUACAGAUUAUCAACUUAAUAAAAGGGCUAGAAGCAACUGGCCAGCCCCUCUUUGCCUUUCCAUCCCUCUGACAUGUGAGGAUACAGCAUUUGUCCCCUCCAGAGGACACAGCAUUCAAAGUGAAAUUUUGGAAGCAGAGAUCAAUCCCUCAUGAAACACUGAACCUGCCUGAAUCUUGAUCUUGGACUUCCUAGCCUCCAUAACUGUAAAGAAUAAAUUUUAACUAGUAAAUCAUCCAGUCUCUAGUAUUCUUAUAGCAGCAAGAACAGAUGAAAACACCAACUCCUUUAAAUAAUUGUAAUUGGUUUCCCUAACUUAGGGAUGAACAAACUCAAGCCUUGAAGUUGAAGUAACUUGUAUAAGAUCAUGCAGGUUAUAAGCACCUGGUACAAAAUGGACCCAGGAUGUCAUCACAAAAGUGUCUGUGGACAGUCAGAUAACAGGACUAACUUAGAGAUCAGAGCCCACCAAAGACACAGAGCAUUUCACGUAACCCUUCCACAGGCAGAUCUCAAGAAACUUCCUUCAACUUUUUCUUCAUGGUGAGUCAACUGAUGAGUAUCAGGUCAUGUGAGUGGCAUCUAAAUCAAGAUGUGAUUCACAUUAUUUAGGACCCUUAUCUAAUACAGGACCUGGUAUCCAAAAAUGAAAGGUUGUGUCAUUAGCCCACAUCGUUAUCACAAAGACUCCUCUAGCAACACAUCUAAAAACAAUUAAUUAAAGAAAACCAAUGAAUCCAUUCAACCUCCACAAAUUAAAUUAAUUCAUAAUUAAUAAGAUAACAGCAAUUCACUAGGCUAUAAUAUUUUAAACUAGCAAAGCAGGGUAAUAAUAAAGUAAUCAAUUUUA